RNAcentral lists this ribosomal RNA (253 nucleotides) under uncultured bacterium. RNAcentral's name for it is "partial 16S ribosomal RNA". It matches the Rfam family "Bacterial small subunit ribosomal RNA", at positions 524 to 776 of the family's 1533-position model. The record is from RNAcentral.
UACGAGGGGGGCAAGCGUUGUUCGGAAUUAUUGGGCGUAAAGGGCGCGUAGGCGGUGCGGUAAGUCACGUGUGAAAACUCUGGGCUCAACUCAGAGCCUGCAGGCGAAACUGCCGUGCUUGAGUGUGGGAGAGGUGCGUGGAAUUCCCGGUGUAGCGGUGAAAUGCGUAGAUAUCAUUUGGAACGCCAAUGGUGAAAACAGCUCGCUGGGGGUUUGCUGACGCUGAGACACGAAAGCCAGGGGAGCAAACGGG